This 1082-nucleotide long non-coding RNA is filed under the name Betta splendens (Siamese fighting fish). RNAcentral describes it as "lncRNA (ENSBSLG00000008380.1)". The record is from RNAcentral. Lineage: Eukaryota; Metazoa; Chordata; Actinopteri; Anabantiformes; Osphronemidae.
AUGCAGGACAGUGUGGAGCGACAGCUGCUCACCUGCCAGGUAAGCCCCGCCCCCACGACUCCAGGUGUCCGUCAAGAUUUACAGGCCAGCAAACAAUCAGUGUCGGAUAAGGUGGAAAAGUAUUUCAAUGUUCAGCUUCACAUCACAGGCGUGUGUUUAUGGGAGAUGCUCAUGGAGAUUGAGCAGAAGGUGGUGAGUCUGUCUGCGCUGACUCAGGCUGCUGACCGGCACCAGCAGGAGGAACUGGGAGCUGUGGGAUCCCAGCAGGAGGUGGCUGAGCUCCUGUCCUCCAAACUGCAGCUCCUCAAGCUCAACCUGGUCUCGUUCCAGCAGCUCCUACAGGAGCGACUGGAGGAGGAGGGCUCCUCCAGGGAGCUGCAGGAACAGACUCAAGGAGUCUGCCUCCCACAACAGGUGACUUGAGGAGCCGUCUCUGUUUCAAACAAGUCUAAAUGACAAAACUGUUUGGGGCUAAGAUGCUUUGUUCUCAUCCACCCUGUGUCUAAGUCAAAGCGCAGCAGCAGCUUUCAGGAACUUUUCUCGUCGCCAAGAAACAAACUCCUGAGGCAAAGCAGCCUGCAGCAGCAGAAGGUAUUAACACAAUCAGUCACGUUUAAUCGGUGGUUCACCAUAAUAUGUUCAAAGAUUAGGAAUCCGAACGAGAAAAAAACUCGCCAGCAAAAUGCAAAACCAAACAGUCAGUGCAGCAAAGCUCAGCACAAAGUCUGUGCGUCCGAGUGUUGAUGCAGCUGGAUGUUGUUUGCAGGAGCUGGAGCAGGAGCUGACGGAGCAGAGAGGUUUGACUCAGGCCAUCAUCCGACUUCACAGCCAGGACACAGCAUGGUAUCAAAUCUGGCUGGUUAAUACUGUAGCUCUCCUUUUUCCAACCAUCGUUCCACAUCUUGGCCUUAGAAUAAUUAUGUGGUUUUAAAUUACAUUUGACAUCUGAUGACUUAAAUCCACAAUUAAUUUUAUUAAUUAAUGCAAUUUUCCAUUUUCUACUCCCAUAAACAUUUAAAGCACCUUUUAUGGUAAAAGUCUCUGCUGUCUAUAAAUAAAUAGAUAAACUGAGGAUCUAUGCA